RNAcentral lists this unclassified non-coding RNA (287 nucleotides) under uncultured bacterium. Its description in RNAcentral is "contains 16S-23S intergenic spacer region". The record is from RNAcentral.
GUCUUCUGUGUCGCAGUCCCUUCCUCUCUCUCUCCGACCACUUACUCUAUCGCCGUGUUUGCUCACUGUUCCGAUUCUGCGUUAGCCUUUCACAUAACGUACGUAACUCGCCCUAAUUCUUUAUCACUUGCUACAAUUCCUGAUGCAUCAAAUUGAAUUUUGUUCCUUACUAAGGAAAAAUGACUUUAUUCUUAUAGAUCACUCUUGUCCUCUGCUAGGGUUCACAAUUGUUUGGUAUCUUUCUUUGCAAGGGCCUCUCUCUUCCUCAUUGCUUUUCACAUUCUCUG